GUACGGGAGGCAGCAGUGGGGAAUUUUGGACAAUGGGGGAAACCCUGAUCCAGCCAUUCCGCGUGUGCGAUGAAGGCCUUCGGGUUGUAAAGCACUUUUGGCAGGAAAGAAAUCGUGUGGGUUAAUACCCUGCGCGGAUGACGGUACCUGCAGAAUAAGCACCGGCUAACUACGUGCCAGCAGCCGCGGUAAUACGUAGGGUGCAAGCGUUAAUCGGAAUUACUGGGCGUAAAGCGUGCGCAGGCGGUUCGGAAAGAAGGAUGUGAAAUCCCAGGGCUUAACCUUGGAACUGCAUUCUUAACUACCGGGCUAGAGUGUGUCAGAGGGAGGUGGAAUUCCGCGUGUAGCAGUGAAAUGCGUAGAUAUGCGGAGGAACACCGAUGGCGAAGGCAGCCUCCUGGGACAACACUGACGCUUAUGCACGAAAGCGUGGGGAGCAAACAGGAUUAGAUACCCUGGUAGG
This 463-nucleotide ribosomal RNA is filed under the name uncultured bacterium. Its description in RNAcentral is "bacterial SSU rRNA". It matches the Rfam family "Bacterial small subunit ribosomal RNA", at positions 339 to 794 of the family's 1533-position model. The record is from RNAcentral.